GAUGAACGCUGGCUACAGGCUUAACACGUGCAAGUCGAGGGGAAACGACGGGGAAGCUUGCUUCCCCGGGCGUCGACCGGCGCACGGGUGAGUAACGCGUAUCCAACCUGCCUCUGACUGAGGGAUAACCCGUCGAAAGUCGGCCUAAUACCUCAUGGUAUCGUCUGCGGGCAUCCAACGACGAUUAAAGAUUUCAUCGGUCAGGGAUGGGGAUGCGUCUGAUUAGCUUGUUGGCGGGGUAACGGCCCACCAAGGCUACGAUCAGUAGGGGUUCUGAGAGGAAGGUCCCCCACAUUGGAACUGAGACACGGUCCAAACUCCUACGGGAGGCAGCAGUGAGGAAUAUUGGUCAAUGGGCGAGAGCCUGAACCAGCCAAGUAGCGUGCAGGAAGUCGGCCCUAAGGGUUGUAAACUGCUUUUAUGCGGGGAUAAAGUGAGGGACGUGUCCCUCAUUGCAGGUACCGCAUGAAUAAGGACCGGCUAAUUCCGUG
This 491-nucleotide ribosomal RNA is filed under the name uncultured bacterium. RNAcentral describes it as "partial 16S ribosomal RNA". It matches the Rfam family "Bacterial small subunit ribosomal RNA", at positions 28 to 507 of the family's 1533-position model. The record is from RNAcentral.